This 494-nucleotide ribosomal RNA is filed under the name uncultured bacterium. Its description in RNAcentral is "partial 16S ribosomal RNA". It matches the Rfam family "Bacterial small subunit ribosomal RNA", at positions 28 to 507 of the family's 1533-position model. The record is from RNAcentral.
GACGAACGCUGGCGGCGUGCUUAACACAUGCAAGUCGAACGGAAAGGCCUGCUUUCCCUUGUGGAUUGCGGGUACUCGAGUGGCGAACGGGUGAGUAACACGUGAGUGAUCUGCCCCCAACUUGGGUAUAAGCCUGGGAAACUGGGUCUAAUUCCCGAUCGGACUGCAGGGUGGUGCCUGUGGUGGAAAACGAUUUUCUAGUGGUUGGGGAUGAGCUCGCGGCCUAUCAGCUUGUUGGUGGGGUAAUGGCCUACCAAGGCGGCGACGGGUAGCCGGCCUGGGAGGGUGGACGGCCACAUUGGGACUGAGAUACGGCCCAGACUCCUACGGGAGGCAGCAGUGGGGAAUAUUGCACAAGGGGCGGAAGCCUGAUGCAGCGACGCCGCGUGGGGGAUGACGGCCUUCGGGUUGUAAACUCCUUUCGACCGCGAGGAAGCCACCUGGUUGGAAGGGUGGUGACGGUAGUGGUAGAAGAAGCACCGGCUAACUACGUG